RNAcentral lists this ribosomal RNA (465 nucleotides) under Vreelandella stevensii. RNAcentral describes it as "partial 16S ribosomal RNA". It matches the Rfam family "Bacterial small subunit ribosomal RNA", at positions 338 to 795 of the family's 1533-position model. Lineage: Bacteria; Pseudomonadati; Pseudomonadota; Gammaproteobacteria; Oceanospirillales; Halomonadaceae. The record is from RNAcentral.
CCUACGGGGUGCUGCAGUGGGGAACAUUGGACAAUGGGCGAAAGCCUGAUCCAGCCAUGCCGCGUGUGUGAAGAAGGCCUUCGGGUUGUAAAGCACUUUCAGUGGGGAAGAAAGCCUUGGGGCUAAUACCCUCGAGGAAGGACAUCACCCACAGAAGAAGCACCGGCUAACUCCGUGCCAGCAGCCGCGGUAAUACGGAGGGUGCGAGCGUUAAUCGGAAUUACUGGGCGUAAAGCGCGCGUAGGCGGUCUGAUAAGCCGGUUGUGAAAGCCCCGGGCUCAACCUGGGAACGGCAUCCGGAACUGUCAGGCUAGAGUGCAGGAGAGGAAGGUAGAAUUCCCGGUGUAGCGGUGAAAUGCGUAGAGAUCGGGAGGAAUACCAGUGGCGAAGGCGGCCUUCUGGACUGACACUGACGCUGAGGUGCGAAAGCGUGGGUAGCAAACAGGAUUAGAUACCCUAGUAGUC